AUGAGUUGGCAAGAACACAUUCAUGGAUUAGCACGAGAUAAGUUAAUGGUAAUGGCAGCAAGAUUCUCCAUGGAGAGAAAUUUGAAACUGAGGAAAUGUGAAAAGUUUUCAGGCAGAGGAGAUUGUUCCCAGAAGGGGCUCGUUAGACCAUUGCACAUCGAGAAGAUGCAGCCCCUCAAGCAGAACAAUUGUCCCUCCAAAGAGACAGAGUGGCCAGCCUCUGCAGUUAGUCCUUCCUGGAGCUACAGGCACAACCCCGAUAUGGAAAAUGAGCAACACAAACAACUUGCAGGACACACAAACUGUGAGACCAGAGCGUCGUGGAAAAUGCUCAAGAAGUCCAGCUCAGUCCCAGAGCACAUCUCUGACCACCCCCCUUCUCCCUGGUUAAGGACUGGAGAUGUGUGUCAAGACCCAAUGUAGGACUUUCUGUUUAUUGAUAUGUAAGUUUGCCUAAUGUAAGGCACAGAUUUCUCACCCCAGACAACAAAUCCAUGUGUUAAGGAACGAUUGCAUGUGUGUUUAUACAUGGAUAUAUGAAUGAGGUGGUUCCUGAAUGAAUAUAAGACUCAAGAUAUUGGCCAAGACUGGGAAAAUCCAGACAAAGAACACCUCUUCCAGACUCAAUUUUAAUGAGAUCGUUCUCUGUCUGGAUUUAUUAUGUGUCACAUGAAAACCUGUUAAAGUUCCAUGGAAAAAGAUGUCCUGAAUAUUUUAUACCUUAUUCAAACGGUUCAGAUAUUUAUUUCAGCUUACAGAUGUUGAAACUAUCUUAAAUUGUCAAAUGUUUUGUUGGAAUGAAUCUUUUACUUCAAUAAUUUUUCAAAGUUUUUUUUAAAGCCUGACUCAAAGCAAAAGUAAAACAGAUAAAAGCUGAGCCGAUUUAUCUGAAUUGGAGCUGGAGAUUCCUAUCUUCGCUCACUGGCUCCCCGUCUCCCAUCACCCCUGGGAAGAAAUAUCUGGGAAGGGGGAGAAAGAGAUAUUGCCACUAAGUCUCUUUACUUCCUUGAGCUAAGCUUAAACAUCACUGACCAAAUUCCCCCUUUUUAUUUUAGAUAAAGAAACUGAGUACUUAAGAGGUUAACCCUUAGAAGAAAGUAAAGAUUUAUUAUUAUUCAGAGUAUAUAAAACACUUCCCACCUACCUUGUGUUGAAAGAUGAGAGUCCCUUACUGCAUUAACAAAGGGAAGGCAAGAACGGGACGUCUGGUCCACAAGAUGACCUGUGCUAUUGUCACCUUCAUGCAGGUUAACUUAGAAGACCAAGGAGUUUUGUCUAAGCUGGUGGAAGCUACCAAGACCAAUUACAACAACAAAUAUGAUGAGAUCCAUCAUCUCAGGGGAAGCAAUGUCCCAGGCCCAAAAUCCAUGGCUCACAUUGCCAAGCUGGAAAUGGCAAAGGAUACAGACUUGCCACUAAACUGAAUUAAAUGUACACUAUUGAGUUUUCUGUACAUAAAAAUAGUUGUAAAAUUCCUUCCAAAACAGUAUAUAUAAGGAUAUAUAAAUAUAAUAAUAGCAAUAAUGAUCAGCACUUUAUGGGCACUUACUAUCCGCUAGGCACUGUGCUAAGCGUCUUACCUCCACCUCUAUUACCUCACAAAGCUCUUUUAACAACCUUGUGAGAUCAAUAUUUGUUUUCAGAUGAGGAAACUGAGUCUUCAAGAUCUAGCAGGGGCAACAGCAUACACUUAGAUCUAUGAGCCCUGAUACCAAGAUCUUAACCUCUACCGUCUAGAGCAGUUUCUCAACUGUGGCAUCACUGACUUUUGGGACCAGAUUAUUCUUGUUAUGGGGGCUGUUCUGUGCAUUGUAGGGGGUUUAGCAGCAUCCCUGGCCUCUAUCCAUUAGAUUUCAGUAACAUCCUCUCAGCUAUGAUGAUCAAAAAUGUCUCCAAGCCAGGCGAAGUAACUCACACCUCUAAUCCCAGCAACUUGGGAGUCUGAUGUGGGAGGAUUGCUUGAGCCCAGAAGUUUGAGAUUAGCCUGGGCAAUAUAGUGAGACCCCAUCUCUAUGAAAAAAUUGGUAAUUAUCCCAGUGAUGGCAUCACGGGUAGUCCCAGCUCCUCGGAAGCUGAGACUGGAGGAUCACUGGAGCCUCAGGG
This is a long non-coding RNA of Macaca mulatta (Rhesus monkey), 2103 nucleotides long. The record is from Ensembl. NCBI's taxonomy places the organism in Eukaryota, Metazoa, Chordata, Mammalia, Primates, Cercopithecidae.